Molecule: ribosomal RNA, 402 nt
Filed under: uncultured bacterium
Lineage: Bacteria
Description: bacterial SSU rRNA
Rfam family: Bacterial small subunit ribosomal RNA
Source: RNAcentral
GGAAUAUUGGGCAAUGGGCGAAAGCCUGACCCAGCGACGCCGCGUGAGGGAAGAAGGUCUUCGGAUUGUAAACCUUUGUCAGCAGGGAAGAAGCAAGUGACGGUACCUGCUAAGAAAGCCACGGCUAACUACGUGCCAGCAGCCGCGGUAAUACGUAGGUGGCGAGCGUUAUCCGGAUUUACUGGGUGUAAAGGGUGUGUAGGCGGACCGGCAAGUCAGGUGUGAAAACUAUCGGCUCAACCGAUAGACUGCACUUGAAACUGCUGGCCUUGAGAGUCGGAGAGGUAAGCGGAAUUCCCAGUGUAGCGGUGAAAUGCGUAGAUAUUGGGAGGAACACCAGUGGCGAAGGCGGCUUACUGGACGACCACUGACGCUGAGACACGAAAGCGUGGGGAGCAAACA